This 253-nucleotide ribosomal RNA is filed under the name uncultured bacterium. RNAcentral describes it as "partial 16S ribosomal RNA". It matches the Rfam family "Bacterial small subunit ribosomal RNA", at positions 524 to 776 of the family's 1533-position model. The record is from RNAcentral.
UACGUAGGGUGCGAGCGUUAAUCGGAAUUACUGGGCGUAAAGGGCGCGUAGGCGGCGUGUCAAGUCAGGCGUGAAAGCCCCGGGCUCAACCUGGGAACCGCGCUUGAGACUGGCAUGCUCGAGUUCGGGAGAGGAUGGUGGAAUUCCCAGUGUAGAGGUGAAAUUCGUAGAUAUUGGGAAGAACACCGAUGGCGAAGGCAGCCAUCUGGACCGACACUGACGCUGAGGCGCGAAAGCGUGGGGAGCAAACAGG